This 876-nucleotide ribosomal RNA is filed under the name uncultured bacterium. RNAcentral describes it as "bacterial SSU rRNA". It matches the Rfam family "Bacterial small subunit ribosomal RNA", at positions 11 to 887 of the family's 1533-position model. The record is from RNAcentral.
GUUUGAUCCUGGCUCAGAUUGAACGCUGGCGGCAUGCUUUAUACAUGCAAGUCGAACGGUAACAGGUCUUCGGAUGCUGACGAGUGGCGAACGGGUGAGUAAUACAUCGGAACGUGCCUAGUAGUGGGGGAUAACUACUCGAAAGAGUAGCUAAUACCGCAUGAGAUCUACGGAUGAAAGCAGGGGACCUUCGGGCCUUGUGCUACUAGAGCGGCUGAUGGCAGAUUAGGUAGUUGGUGGGGUAAAGGCUUACCAAGCCUGCGAUCUGUAGCUGGUCUGAGAGGACGACCAGCCACACUGGGACUGAGACACGGCCCAGACUCCUACGGGAGGCAGCAGUGGGGAAUUUUGGACAAUGGGCGAAAGCCUGAUCCAGCAAUGCCGCGUGCAGGAUGAAGGCCCUCGGGUUGUAAACUGCUUUUGUACGGAACGAAAAGCCUGGGGCUAAUAUCCCCGGGUCAUGACGGUACCGUAAGAAUAAGCACCGGCUAACUACGUGCCAGCAGCCGCGGUAAUACGUAGGGUGCAAGCGUUAAUCGGAAUUACUGGGCGUAAAGCGUGCGCAGGCGGUUUUGUAAGACAGUGGUGAAAUCCCCGGGCUCAACCUGGGAACUGCCAUUGUGACUGCAAGGCUAGAGUGCGGCAGAGGGGGAUGGAAUUCCGCGUGUAGCAGUGAAAUGCGUAGAUAUGCGGAGGAACACCGAUGGCGAAGGCAAUCCCCUGGGCCUGCACUGACGCUCAUGCACGAAGCGUGGGGAGCAAACAGGAUUAGUACCCUGGUAGUCCACGCCCUAAACGAUGUCAACUGGUUGUUGGGUCUUAACUGACUCAGUAACGAAGCUAACGCGUGAAGUUGACCGCCUGGGGAGUACGGCC